RNAcentral lists this ribosomal RNA (1150 nucleotides) under Enterococcus faecium. Its description in RNAcentral is "bacterial SSU rRNA". It matches the Rfam family "Bacterial small subunit ribosomal RNA", at positions 75 to 1205 of the family's 1533-position model. The record is from RNAcentral. Lineage: Bacteria; Bacillati; Bacillota; Bacilli; Lactobacillales; Enterococcaceae.
GGAGCUUGCUCCACCGGAAAAAGAAGAGUGGCGAACGGGUGAGUAACACGUGGGUAACCUGCCCAUCAGAAGGGGAUAACACUUGGAAACAGGUGCUAAUACCGUAUAACAAUCAAAACCGCAUGGUUUUGAUUUGAAAGGCGCUUUCGGGUGUCGCUGAUGGAUGGACCCGCGGUGCAUUAGCUAGUUGGUGAGGUAACGGCUCACCAAGGCCACGAUGCAUAGCCGACCUGAGAGGGUGAUCGGCCACAUUGGGACUGAGACACGGCCCAAACUCCUACGGGAGGCAGCAGUAGGGAAUCUUCGGCAAUGGACGAAAGUCUGACCGAGCAACGCCGCGUGAGUGAAGAAGGUUUUCGGAUCGUAAAACUCUGUUGUUAGAGAAGAACAAGGAUGAGAGUAACUGUUCAUCCCUUGACGGUAUCUAACCAGAAAGCCACGGCUAACUACGUGCCAGCAGCCGCGGUAAUACGUAGGUGGCAAGCGUUGUCCGGAUUUAUUGGGCGUAAAGCGAGCGCAGGCGGUUUCUUAAGUCUGAUGUGAAAGCCCCCGGCUCAACCGGGGAGGGUCAUUGGAAACUGGGAGACUUGAGUGCAGAAGAGGAGAGUGGAAUUCCAUGUGUAGCGGUGAAAUGCGUAGAUAUAUGGAGGAACACCAGUGGCGAAGGCGGCUCUCUGGUCUGUAACUGACGCUGAGGCUCGAAAGCGUGGGGAGCAAACAGGAUUAGAUACCCUGGUAGUCCACGCCGUAAACGAUGAGUGCUAAGUGUUGGAGGGUUUCCGCCCUUCAGUGCUGCAGCUAACGCAUUAAGCACUCCGCCUGGGGAGUACGACCGCAAGGUUGAAACUCAAAGGAAUUGACGGGGGCCCGCACAAGCGGUGGAGCAUGUGGUUUAAUUGGAAGCAACGCGAAGAACCUUACCAGGUCUUGACAUCCUUUGACCACUCUAGAGAUAGAGCUUCCCCUUCGGGGGCAAAGUGACAGGUGGUGCAUGGUUGUCGUCAGCUCGUGUCGUGAGAUGUUGGGUUAAGUCCCGCAACGAGCGCAACCCUUAUUGUUAGUUGCCAUCAUUCAGUUGGGCACUCUAGCAAGACUGCCGGUGACAAACCGGAGGAAGGUGGGGAUGACGUCAAAUCAUCAUGCCCCUUAU